AUGUGGUUGUCGAGAGCUGUCUUGGGCAGAGUGAUCACAAAAUGGUGGAGUUCUCUAUUCUUGGCCAGGAAGGGGACCAGUAAAACCGCUGUAUUGGACUUCCGGAGGGCUGACUUUGUGCUGCUGAGCACACUGGUUGGUAGAGUCCCUUGGGGGGCGGUUCUGAAGGGCAGAGGAGUCCAGGAAGGCUGGGCACUCUUCAAGAGGGAAAUCUUAAUGGCGCAGGAGUGGUCUGUCCCCAUGUGCCCAAAGAUGAGCUGGCAGGGAAGAAGACCAGCCUGGCUGAACAGAGAAUUGUGGCUUGAGUUUAGGAGGAAAAAGAGGGUUUAUAAGCUUUGGAAAAGUGGGCAGGCCACUAGGGAGGACUACAAGGAUGUUGCGAGGCUGUGCAGGGACAAAAUUAGAAAGGCCAAAGCUCAUCUGGAGCUCAAUCUGGCUACUGCUGUUAAAGAUAACAAAAAAUGUUUUUGUAAAUACAUCAACACAAAAAGGAGGACUAAGGAGAAUCUCCAUCCUUUACUGGAUGCAAGGGGAAACUUAGUUACAAAAGAUGAGGAAAAGGUGGAGGUGCUUAAUGCCUUUUUUGCCUCAGUCUUUAGCAGCAAUACUGGUUGUUCUCUGGAUAUCCAGUACCCUGAGCUGGUAGAAGGGGAUGGGGAGCAGGAUGUGGCCCUCACUAUCCGCGAAGAACUGUUUGGUGACCUGGUACGGCACUUGGAUGUGCACAAGUCGAUGGGGCCAGAUGGGAUCCACCUAAGGGUGCUGAGAGAAGUGUCAGAGGAGCUGGCCAAGCCCCUAUCCAUUAUUUAUCAACAUUCCUGGCUAUUGGGGGAGGUCCCAGUUGACUGGCAGCUAGCAAAUGUGACGCCCGUCUACAAGAAGGGCCGGAAGGCAGACCCGGGAAACUACAGGCCUGUCAGUUUGACCCCAGUGCCAGGGAAGCUCAUGGAGCAGAUUCUCUUGAGAGUCAUCACGCAGCACUUGCAGGGCAAACAGGCGAUCAGGCCCAGUCAGCAUGGGUUUAUGAAAGGCAGGUCCUGCUUGACGAACCUGAUCUCCUUCUAUGACAAAGUGAUGCGCUUGGUGGAUGAGGGAAAGGCUGUGGAUGUGGUCUACCUUGACUUCAGCAAGGUUUUGACACUGUUUCCCACAGCAUUCUCCUCAAGAAAAUGGCUGCUCUUGGCUUGGACUGGUGCACGCUUCGUUGGGUUGGAAACUGGCUGGAUAGCCAGGCCCAAAGAGUCGUGGUAA
This 1251-nucleotide long non-coding RNA is filed under the name Cairina moschata (Muscovy duck). RNAcentral describes it as "domestica (muscovy Duck (domestic type)) lncRNA (ENSCMMG00000009194.1)". The record is from RNAcentral. Lineage: Eukaryota; Metazoa; Chordata; Aves; Anseriformes; Anatidae.